RNAcentral lists this ribosomal RNA (361 nucleotides) under uncultured bacterium. RNAcentral's name for it is "bacterial SSU rRNA". It matches the Rfam family "Bacterial small subunit ribosomal RNA", at positions 29 to 416 of the family's 1533-position model. The record is from RNAcentral.
AACGAACGCUGGCGGCAUGCCUAACACAUGCAAGUCGAACGAGACCUUCGGGUCUAGUGGCGCACGGGUGCGUAACGCGUGGGAACCUGCCUUUAGGUUCGGAAUAACUCAGAGAAAUUUGAGCUAAUACCGGAUAAUGUCUUCGGGCCAAAGAUUUAUCGCCUUUAGAUGGGCCCGCGUAAGAUUAGCUAGUUGGUGGGGUAAAGGCCUACCAAGGCGACGAUCUUUAGCUGGUCUGAGAGGACGAUCAGCCACACUGGGACUGAGACACGGCCCAGACUCCUACGGGAGGCAGCAGUGGGGGAUAUUGCGCAAUGGGCGAAAGCCUGACGCAGCGACGCCGCGUGGGGUGAUGAAGGCC